Molecule: long non-coding RNA, 1338 nt
Organism: Cuculus canorus (common cuckoo)
Lineage: Eukaryota; Metazoa; Chordata; Aves; Cuculiformes; Cuculidae
Exons: 3
Source: RefSeq, a predicted model, not a curated record
CAGAUAAUAAGUGUGGCUUUCUUAAAUGGUGAUAUAGCAUAUAGUAAUUUAUUUACCGUUUCAGUCAAAUACUGCUUACAUUUCAGUGGUUGUAAACUGUUACUUAAAGUAUAUAAAAACUAUUACUUUUGUCUUAGAUUUCAGAAGGUUCUUAGGCUGAAUUGCUGUUACAAUUAAAUGAAGGGGUGUUUGUUUUUCUAUGCCAAAUGAAGUUAUUGGUUCAGUCAAAGUUUUUUAGGAGAAGCAGAGAGAUGAAUGUUGUAACUCAGCCUAACUUCUUGUACAACACAAGUCAUAGGAUUUAACUCAGUGAUGUAUCCAUCCCAAUAACUUCUGCUUGACCUGGAAUAAAAAUGUGUGUAUGUGUACAUAAAAUUCAAUCUUCUUAGAAAGAUAUGAAGUGAUGGAAAAGCUACUGCAUCCCUUGGCAAUCUGUUCCAAUUUGUUAAAAUAAGUUCUCCUAACUCUUCUUCAGACUUUCAUUCAGAUAAGGUUGGAGUCAUUUAAACUGCCUGACUCAUCAUUCCUUUGCCUGCAAAUGUUUUCUGCUUGCCAGCGCUUCCAGCUGCUGUUCAGGUCAUUCUCGCACUUAAUUUCAAGAGUUCAUUGGAACAUCUCAUCCUCUGUACAGCCUCUGGCGUUUUGUUGUAUUUGAAAAAUGGAAAAGUAUUUGAUUGGAUUCCUUAAAAAAAUGUACAUAAGAAAACCUCACGCAAGAAAACAGAGGACAUCUCAGCAUCCAACUGAAGGAGCCUUGUGGUGUGUUGGGGACGUACAAUGCGUGCCUGUUUGUGAUGGCCACGCUGAAGCUUUCUGGGCUACCUGUGGAGGUGCAGCUGACAUAAAUUAGCCAAGGAAGCUGUUUCUUGUGGAGAAAGGAACCACUAGAGGACAUCACCAGAUGAAUCAUAAAGCAAUCAGGCACAGCGAUAAACAGAGAAACUGAGACAAAUGAGAAGCGAUGCAGAAUUACUGUUUCCUACCGUUCCCUGGGGAUGGACGGAGCUAAUCAAUUCUUCCUUAUCACCCAUCAGCAGACAUGGGGGGACGGGACUGCACAAAUCCCUGCAAAUCCUCCUCAUCCUAAUUUUUCAGGAUGCCGGAUCAGAUCUGCCUGGAGAAGCUCUGCAGAGCUGUUCUUACAGACCUGGAGAAGCUCUAGGACCCUUCUGCAGGACAGGGUGUGGAUGAAGCGCCAGUUCUCACCACAUGAGCUCUUGCUUCCUCUCCAGUGCUGAACGUCAGUGAUUUAUGCAGGACAGUCUUUCCAGCAUGACAAAUGUGAACUUGGAGAGCAGUAGGAACAUGUCACACCAUCCCACUAUCCCCUCACAUAGG